GCCCAAAACCAAGCCUAAUCUUACCUGCAUACACCCUAUACCCACCCACACAAUGAAUUGAUAAAACAUUUUAACUAUUUAGUAGAGGUGAUCAAAAAAUAAAUUAGAGCCUCAUAAGAAGUACCGCAAGGGAAUGGUGAAAUAAAUAUGAAAUAGCUUUAAAGCGUACUAUAGCAGAGUAAUCCCCUCGUACCUUUUGCAUCAUGGUUUAGCCAGUCUUUAUCAAGCAAAGCGAGACACAAGUUUGAUCCCCCGAAACUGGGCGAGCUACUUCGAAACAGCUUUUAGAGCCAACCCGUCUCUGUUGCAAAAGAGUGGGAUGAUUUCCAAGUAGUGGUGAUAAGCCUAUCGAGCCCAGAGAUAGCUGGUUAUUCAGAAAAAGAAUAUUAGUUCUACCUUAAGCUUAAUAAUUAUAAAAAAAUAACUGUAAACUUAAGAGUUAUUCAAAUAAGGCACAGCUUGUUUGAAAAAGGACACAACCUAGAAUAAUGGGUAAGUAACCCCUAUACGACGCUAAGUGGGCCUGAAAGCAGCCACCUUUAAAAAAGCGUUAAAGCUUAGUUCUUCUUCCAAUUUAUAAUUCCUUCAUUAUAUACGAACCCUCAACCAAAACUGAAUAAUCCUAUAAUUAUAUAGGAGAUAUAAUGCUAAAACUAGUAACAAGAAGAAGACCUUCUCCAAAAUGCAAGCAAAACCCAACUUAGACUAACUAUUGGCUAUUAACGCCUAUGACCUUAAUAUAGUAACUGACCCUAGCAAACCCUAUACACUACGACGUUAACCUUACACAAGAGCAUUCCUGGAAAGAUUAAAAGAAAAAGAAGGAACUCGGCAAAUUCAGGCCUCGCCUGUUUACCAAAAACAUCGCCUCUUGUUUUUUCAUAAGAGGUCCAGCCUGCCCAGUGACACAAUUAAACGGCCGCGGUACCCUGACCGUGCGAAGGUAGCAUAAUAACUUGUUCUUUAAAUGGGGACUAGCAUGAACGGCACCACGAAGGCCUCACUGUCUCCUUUUUCCAAUCAGUGAAACUGAUCUCCCCGUGAAGAAGCGGGGAUGAUAAUAUAAGACGAGAAGACCCCAUGGAGCUUUAAACCCAAUAAGCAACCCUAAUCAACACAACUCAUCUAAAUUCUUUCUCCCCCUGCUUUUUGGUUUUAGGUUGGGGUGACCACGGAGUAAAACAUAUCCUCCACGACGUACGGGAUUAACCCUUAUCCAAGAGCCACCGCUCUAAGAAUCGACAAAUUGACGUUUUUUGAUCCAAUAUAUUGAUCAACGAACCAAGUUACCCUGGGGAUAACAGCGCAAUCCAUUUUUAGAGCCCCUAUCGACGAAUGGGUUUACGACCUCGAUGUUGGAUCAGGGUACCCAAGUGGUGCA
This 1381-nucleotide ribosomal RNA is filed under the name Fejervarya iskandari. Its description in RNAcentral is "partial 16S rRNA". It matches the Rfam family "Bacterial large subunit ribosomal RNA", at positions 179 to 2557 of the family's 2925-position model. The record is from RNAcentral. Lineage: Eukaryota; Metazoa; Chordata; Amphibia; Anura; Dicroglossidae.